Molecule: ribosomal RNA, 1436 nt
Filed under: uncultured organism
Description: 16S ribosomal RNA
Rfam family: Bacterial small subunit ribosomal RNA
Source: RNAcentral
UCAGGAUGAACGCUAGCUACAGGCUUAACACAUGCAAGUCGAGGGGCAGCAUGGUCUUAGCUUGCUAAGGCCGAUGGCGACCGGCGCACGGGUGAGUAACACGUAUCCAACCUGCCGUCUACUCUUGGACAGCCUUCUGAAAGGAAGAUUAAUACAAGAUGGCAUCAUGAGUCCGCAUGUUCACAUGAUUAAAGGUAUUCCGGUAGACGAUGGGGAUGCGUUCCAUUAGAUAGUAGGCGGGGUAACGGCCCACCUAGUCUUCGAUGGAUAGGGGUUCUGAGAGGAAGGUCCCCCACAUUGGAACUGAGACACGGUCCAAACUCCUACGGGAGGCAGCAGUGAGGAAUAUUGGUCAAUGGGCGCAGGCCUGAACCAGCCAAGUAGCGUGAAGGAUGACUGCCCUAUGGGUUGUAAACUUCUUUUAUAAAGGAAUAAAGUCGGGUAUGGAUACCCGUUUGCAUGUACUUUAUGAAUAAGGAUCGGCUAACUCCGUGCCAGCAGCCGCGGUAAUACGGAGGAUCCGAGCGUUAUCCGGAUUUAUUGGGUUUAAAGGGAGCGUAGAUGGAUGUUUAAGUCAGUUGUGAAAGUUUGCGGCUCAACCGUAAAAUUGCAGUUGAUACUGGAUAUCUUGAGUGCAGUUGAGGCAGGCGGAAUUCGUGGUGUAGCGGUGAAAUGCUUAGAUAUCACGAAGAACUCCGAUUGCGAAGGCAGCCUGCUAAGCUGCAACUGACAUUGAGGCUCGAAAGUGUGGGUAUCAAACAGGAUUAGAUACCCUGGUAGUCCACACGGUAAACGAUGAAUACUCGCUGUUUGCGAUAUACUGCAAGCGGCCAAGCGAAAGCGUUAAGUAUUCCACCUGGGGAGUACGCCGGCAACGGUGAAACUCAAAGGAAUUGACGGGGGCCCGCACAAGCGGAGGAACAUGUGGUUUAAUUCGAUGAUACGCGAGGAACCUUACCCGGGCUUAAAUUGCAGAUGAAUUACGGUGAAAGCCGUAAGCCGCAAGGCAUCUGUGAAGGUGCUGCAUGGUUGUCGUCAGCUCGUGCCGUGAGGUGUCGGCUUAAGUGCCAUAACGAGCGCAACCCUUGUUGUCAGUUACUAACAGGUUCCGCUGAGGACUCUGACAAGACUGCCAUCGUAAGAUGUGAGGAAGGUGGGGAUGACGUCAAAUCAGCACGGCCCUUACGUCCGGGGCUACACACGUGUUACAAUGGGGGGUACAGAGGGCCGCUACCACGCGAGUGGAUGCCAAUCCCCAAAACCUCUCUCAGUUCGGACUGGAGUCUGCAACCCGACUCCACGAAGCUGGAUUCGCUAGUAAUCGCGCAUCAGCCACGGCGCGGUGAAUACGUUCCCGGGCCUUGUACACACCGCCCGUCAAGCCAUGGGAGCCGGGGGUACCUGAAGUGCGUAACCGCGAGGAGCGCCCUAGGGUA